CAUUUUCGAUGUUUUACGACGC
RNAcentral lists this non-coding RNA (22 nucleotides) under Arabidopsis thaliana (thale cress). Lineage: Eukaryota; Viridiplantae; Streptophyta; Magnoliopsida; Brassicales; Brassicaceae. The record is from RNAcentral.